UUCGUAAUUGAAACUCAAUAAAAAAAGUUAAAGGAUAUAUAGAAAAAUGGCAGACAAAUCCAAUAACGAACCAAAGAGGACAGUGGAAGUACGUGGGGAGCAUCAUGGUCGUCAUGGAGCAAGUGCAAGUGUAACUUAUACUCACCCUGUUGGUAAAAAUGUUGAUGUUUACGGUCAAGUUUCCAAGCAAUUCAAAUAUAACGACAAUAGUGGACACGUUGGUGUUAGAUAUAAAUUUUAAAUAACACAUUUUCAAAAUUACUCUUACUUUUAGUUUUAAUUAAAUCUGUACAUACCAAUAAAAUACAAAAAUAAAAUAUUUUAAAACAAUGUAAUUUA
Molecule: long non-coding RNA, 339 nt
Organism: Eupeodes corollae
Lineage: Eukaryota; Metazoa; Arthropoda; Insecta; Diptera; Syrphidae
Exons: 2
Source: RefSeq, a predicted model, not a curated record